UCCGGAAUUAUUGGGCGUAAAGAGCUCGUAGGCGGUCUGUUACGUCUGCUGUGAAAACCCAGGGCUUAACCCUGGGCUUGCAGUGGAUACGGGCAGACUAGAGGCAGGUAGGGGAGAAUGGAAUUCCCGGUGUAGCGGUGAAAUGCGCAGAUAUCGGGAGGAACACCGGUGGCGAAGGCGGUUCUCUGGGCCUGACCUGACGCUGAGGAGCGAAAGCGUGGGGAGCGAACAGG
Molecule: ribosomal RNA, 233 nt
Filed under: uncultured bacterium
Lineage: Bacteria
Description: partial 16S ribosomal RNA
Rfam family: Bacterial small subunit ribosomal RNA
Source: RNAcentral